UGGGGAAUCUUGCACAAUGGAGGAAACUCUGAUGCAGCGACGCCGCGUGAGCGAUGAAGCCCUUCGGGGUGUAAAGCUCUUUCGACGGGAACGAUAAUGACGGUACCCGAAGAAGAAGCUGCGGCUAACUACGUGCCAGCAGCCGCGGUAAUACGUAGGCAGCAAGCGUUGUUCGGAAUUACUGGGCGUAAAGAGUGUGUAGGCGGUGCUCCAAGUCUGGUGUGAAAUCUCCCGGCUUAACUGGGAGGGUGCGGUAGAAACUGGAAUGCUAGAGGAUGGGAGAGGUAAGCGGAAUUCCUGGUGUAGCGGUGAAAUGCGUAGAUAUCAGGAGGAACACCUGUGGUGUAGACAGCUUACUGGACCAUUUCUGACGCUGAGACACGAAAGCGUGGGUAGCAAACAGGAUUAGAUACCCCGCGUAGUCC
Molecule: ribosomal RNA, 425 nt
Filed under: uncultured bacterium
Lineage: Bacteria
Description: bacterial SSU rRNA
Rfam family: Bacterial small subunit ribosomal RNA
Source: RNAcentral